AUUCCAGCUGAUCCUGCUGGCGGAUACUGCUAUUGAAGUCCGAUUAAGCCAUGCAAGUCUAAGAGUCCAGCUAUGGGGGCUCUGGCGUACUGCUCAGUAACACGUAGCUAAUCUACCCUCAAGAAGAGCAAAACCCGGGAAACUGGGCAUAAUGCUCUAUAAGCAGAGGAUACUGGAAUGUUCCUUUGCUUAAAUGAAGUGCACCAUGCAAGCACUUUGCUUGAGGAUGAGGCUGCGGCGGAUUAGGCUGUUGGCGGGGUAACUGCCCACCAAACCUUUGAUCCGUACGGGCCUUGAGAGAGGGAGCCCGGAGAAGGGUACUGAGAUAAGGACCCUAGCCCUACGGGGUGCAGCAGGCGCGAAACCUCUGCAAUGCGCGAAAGCGUGACAGGGGGACUUCGAGUGCUAGCUUGCUAGCUUUUGCCAAGCCUAAAAAGCUUGGCGAAUAAGUGCUGGGUAAGAUGCGUGCCAGCCGCCGCGGUAAUACGUACAGCACAAGUGGUAUCCCCUUAUAUUGGGCCUAAAGCGUGUGUAGCCGGUUCUAAUAGUCUUUGGUGAAAUCAAGGGGCUUAACCCAUUGGCUUGCCAAAGAUACUUUAAAACUCGAGGUUGGUAGACGUGAAGGGAAUUUCUGGGGUAGCAGUGAAAUGUUGUGAUCCCAGAAGGA
RNAcentral lists this ribosomal RNA (667 nucleotides) under Candidatus Iainarchaeum sp. RNAcentral describes it as "partial 16S ribosomal RNA". It matches the Rfam family "Archaeal small subunit ribosomal RNA", at positions 1 to 656 of the family's 1478-position model. The record is from RNAcentral. Lineage: Archaea; Nanobdellati; Candidatus Iainarchaeota; Candidatus Iainarchaeia; Candidatus Iainarchaeales; Candidatus Iainarchaeaceae.